AAUUUUUAAAAAAUUUAAACUGGAGCUAUCAAAGGAAAAUGUAUUUAGAAAAAAACAAACUAUGAUUAACUUAAUUUCAGAACAUUUCCAUUAUGUGAGAUAAAAAAGUUUCUAAAUACUGUGUUGUGUGAAUUACCGGUAUAUUUAUUGGUACAGUAGAAAUCAUGAAAAGUAGAAGCUGUAUAAUAGAAAAUAAUUAUAAAACGCUGUAUGAUAGAAUUAGCUGUAUGAAAGGAGACAAGUUAUCUUGUGCAAACACAAACCUAUGACUAAGUAUUUGUUUAUAAACACUUUCAGUUUGUUUAUAAUAUUGUGUGUAUGAUAGUCAAAAAGAAAAAAAAAAUGAUUCAGAUAUUUUUUUUUAUGUUAUUCAUUAAUUUAUAUUUCUUUGUUGGUUGUGAUUUUGGCCAAAUUUGUCUAUUUGGAGACAUUCAAAUCUCAGCAAGUUUCAAUCAGUAGACAGAAUUUUGAUGAUAGUUUUGUUAUCAUUUGGUAAUAAUAGCUCUGGUGAUAGUUUGUCAAUCUACUUUCCUUAGUGUACCAAUUAGAAUUUGAUUUUUUAAAAAUUGUUUUUUUGUAAAGUAAAACUUUGUUUUGUAUGAUGUUUUAUGUGAACUUUUGCACUCCCCACUUAACAAGUUUUGAAACAGUAUUUGGCAGUGCUACAUUUGUUUUGUUUCCUGCAAUAUGGUCUGGCUGGAGUAAGAUAGUCUUAACAACAACAUUGUGAAAAAUAUCAACCCCAUUGUCACUCUUACUCGUACUUAAAGAAUAUGUGUUGUAGUUUGACUCUGUCUCAAAUGCUUGAAAUACAUUUUCUAAAGUGGUGCUCAUGUUUUUUUCACAUUGUAGUUGUUCAUUUUAUAUCAUAACUUUAAAUUUUGACAACUUUGCAUUAGAAAUUAGGUAACAUAAAAAUUAUAAUUUAAAGUCUACUGUGGAAAAUUUUAUAAAAUUGUCAACUGUGAAUAGUCCAAUGAUUAGUGAAAUUCUAGAUCUAUAUUCCUACAGAGUGCACAUGUCAAAGCAAAAAUAUUUAUUACUUAGUUAUGUUUAUAUUUUUUGUUUUGUAUUGUAUGAAGUACCGCUGUAUGUCACCUAUGAAAUUAUUUGCUGGCCUGUGUGCCUUAACUAUUGUGCUGUACAUUUU
This is a non-coding RNA of Biomphalaria pfeifferi, 1150 nucleotides long. The record is from the annotation of a GenBank genome assembly. Lineage: Eukaryota; Metazoa; Mollusca; Gastropoda; Planorbidae.